RNAcentral lists this ribosomal RNA (253 nucleotides) under uncultured bacterium. Its description in RNAcentral is "partial 16S ribosomal RNA". It matches the Rfam family "Bacterial small subunit ribosomal RNA", at positions 524 to 776 of the family's 1533-position model. The record is from RNAcentral.
UACGUAGGGGGCUAGCGUUGUCCGGAAUCAUUGGGCGUAAAGAGCGUGUAGGCGGCCCGGUAAGUCCGCUGUGAAAGUCGGGGGCUCAACCCUCGAAUGCCGGUGGAUACUGUCGGGCUAGAGUGCGGAAGAGGCGAGUGGAAUUCCUGGUGUAGCGGUGAAAUGCGCAGAUAUCAGGAGGAACACCAAUUGCGAAGGCAGCUCGCUGGGACGUAACUGACGCUGAGGCGCGAAAGCGUGGGGAGCGAACAGG